Molecule: long non-coding RNA, 357 nt
Organism: Symphalangus syndactylus (siamang)
Lineage: Eukaryota; Metazoa; Chordata; Mammalia; Primates; Hylobatidae
Source: RefSeq, a predicted model, not a curated record
CGAGGGGCUGCCCAUCCACCCUGUGGGCUCCUCCUUACCCUGCCACAGUGCCCUCUGGUCUUCUACACAAGGACGCCACAGACAUGCAUCUCCUCAGUGUUCCUUUGACUGUUUGGGACCACGCUGUCCAAAAUUUAACACACAUAAGGAUGUUCUGGCUGACUAACGUUCUCUUUUCAGAUUCACUUGGACAUGGUUCUCCAGUGCUUCUUGGCUCUCAUUACAGCGGAAUGUGCUUGUGAGUUGUCCAACAGCUGCCACAUCCUUGUUAAGUGACACUCAAAGAAGAUUGGCCCUGAGGGAUUACUAGGCUGUCCUCCGUCCACCCCAAGCCUGGAUCACCCUCUCUCCCUCCUG